This 406-nucleotide ribosomal RNA is filed under the name uncultured bacterium. RNAcentral describes it as "partial 16S ribosomal RNA". It matches the Rfam family "Bacterial small subunit ribosomal RNA", at positions 30 to 526 of the family's 1533-position model. The record is from RNAcentral.
AUUGAACGCUGGCGGCAGGCCUAACACAUGCAAGUCGAGCGCGCGGCGGACGGGUGAGUAAUGUCUGUGAAACUGUCUGAUGGAGGGGGAUAACUACUGGAAACGGUAUCUAAUACCGCAUACCAUCAGAUGUGCCCAGAUGGGAUUAGCUAGUAGGUGGGGUAACGGCUCACCUAGGCGACGAUCCCUAGCUGGUCUGAGAGGAUGACCAGCCACACUGGAACUGAGACACGGUCCAGACUCCUACGGGAGGCAGCAGUGGGGAAUAUUGCACAAUGGGCGCAAGCCUGAUGCAGCCAUGCCGCGUGUGUGAAGAAGGCCUUCGGGUUGUAAAGCACUUUCAGCGGGGAGGCGUUACCCGCAGAAGAAGCACCGGCUAACUCCGUGCCAGCAGCCGCGGUAAUUC